This 17416-nucleotide long non-coding RNA is filed under the name Phaseolus vulgaris (common bean). RNAcentral describes it as "long non-coding RNA (PVUL_LNC003715)". The record is from RNAcentral. Lineage: Eukaryota; Viridiplantae; Streptophyta; Magnoliopsida; Fabales; Fabaceae.
CUCAAAUGUGCUAAUGUUGGAUUCUUUUGCCUUAUACCUCGUUCAUAUUGCUGUGGUUGUUAAUGGGUAUUUUUUAUCGUGUGCUUGUCUGGGGAAUUUGGCCACUUUAGUAUAUGCAAUGCAAUGCAACCUGUGUUGGUCAUACUUGCUUCUAUGAUGAUGUGAUUGGGAAAAUUUAGUUAUGAUUCUUUUUGGUCAUGACAAUUCUGAUUGGCUUUUGGGUUUUGAGACCAUCUUUGGAGCAUUUACUUGCUGUCUGUGGCAUGGAUUAGGAAAAGAUGGGGAGGGUAUUUUAGGAAAUCAAUUCAAUUGUGUGCAAGUGUGUGUGGAUUUGCAAAUUAUUUAGGGAAUGUUUUUUUCCAUGUAAAAUAGCUAUAGUAAUUUCCACUUUGUUAAACUUUAUUUUGUCUGCGUUCACUUCUACGUUGCUUUUCUUUUCUCUUACUUUAUUCUUCUGUAUUUUACUACCAAAUCAGUCUUUUAUUCUCACAUAUCAAUUAUAUAAUAUAAUUCUGAUACAGACCAACACAGAAAAUAAGAGAAAGGAGGUAAACGUGGUAUAUUAUUGAUACUGAAAAAGGGAAAAUACAAUAGGAGGCUACUGUCCAGAGCUAUGCUCCUAUAGAGAAUUAGCAUUCUCCAUUCUGCAAAACUGCAAUAUUCUUUUCUCCCCCCAUUCUCAUGCUAGGCUGUGCCUAUAAGGGUACACGCCUCACACACCCACAAACCCGUAACUAACUAUCACCCAACCUUUUCUUUCUCUCUCUCUCUGCCACCUCAUCAUGCUCUGUUAGCCUUUUCAAUUCUGUUUCUCCUAGUGUACACACGCCAUAUUCUAGGCCUAUGUAAACCUGGAUCAGCUUGAACAUUCUUUUGGGCCCAUGAAUCAUUUUGGGUUCUAUCAAAUUCUCUAUCAUAUGCAAACAGAAUGAGGUUUGGAGAGGUAUGUGGGCAUCUAAAAUAAGGUGUAUUUGGGAACAAAGAAACUGUGUUGUCUUUAAGCAAGGUGUAGCUGAUUCAGAGAAAAUCUUUCAUUUGGCACAACUUAUAAUGUGGUUAUGGGUGAAACAUAGCGUGCAAUCAUUCAACUAUUCUUUUUUGGAUUGGGUGUUAAAUCCUAUUCUUUGUAUCAAACGGUGUGGAUGUGGACGUCUGGAAGCUAGGGGUCUAAUGCUAGGUGCACAAAGUUCAUUUGGAUGGAGCAUACCAUUUGCAUCUGGUAGUGCAAUUUGUGCAGCAUCCUGUGGCAAUGAGCUGCUGGUAGUGUUACUAGUUUUUGAUAAUGGUUGUUUCCAAGGUAGUGGUACUAGUUUUUGGGAAGAUCUUCAUAGCUAUGGUUUUUUACAAUUUAAAAUACACCUGGUGAAGUAAUAGAAGUGGUGUAAGGAGGCAGCUUGUAUAGGAAUUGAAUUGGUAUGUACAAGGACUAGUGCUCUUGAAGUUGUAGGAGGUAAAACAAAAUUGGGAAUGCUGGUUUGGUGUGGAUGACGGUUUGGGAUGGUAUGCAGGAGAUAAACCAGCAUCGUAUGAUAUGAUGACUAGGUGAGAUUGUUGGUUUGAUGUGGAAGCUGGUGUUGAAUGCUGGAUGCUGGUUUGUAGGUUAAAGGUGCUCUAAGGCCAAAAACUUCGUUUUACAAGCAAUGCUUAAGCCAAUGCAGGGGAAUUUAACAACUCCUAUGAAGCCCAACUAUACCAGAAGCAUACAAAGUAGAUGCAAGUGCAACCUAACUUUUUUGUUUGCUGAAUUUUAGCAAGAAGAAGAUGAUCAUGUUGGCAGUUAUGGCAGCAGUUUUUGAAGUCUAAAUUGUGUAACUAUACAGGUGAUUAAUGGCCAAAGGAACUGUUAGGAAAGAGAGAUGCAGAUUCGCUAGAAUAUGUGGCAUAAAUUAUAUGGGAACAUCAAAUAUGUUUUCAGCACUCACAAUCACAUAUUGAUGAGUCUAGUUUUCAGUCACCUUCAUGUUUCAUAAGUUGAUCAUCAUCAUCACAUGCCAUUACAACUUUAAUAUGUUUUCAUCGCAACCACAACAUCUUUUAGACACAUCAAAUAAUUUUGCGACAUAUACCACAACCAUCCACAUACAAUCCACUAUUUUGUUGGAAUCACGACUUAAGUACCCUUUUUUUUUAACUCAUUUUGAUAAAUCUAAAAUAAAAUCAUACCAUUUACUUCAAAAAAAAACGAUCCAACAUUGUAUACUAACAAAAAGGAAACACAACUUUAUUUUCCUUCUUCCAAGAUUUACAUGUCUUGAGUUGAAUAACUCUUACCAUCUUUUUUUAAUCAACAUAACAUUGUUUUCAUAAAUAUUACCAUUACCGUUUCCCCGGAACCAUCCACCAUUGGAUACCCCUCUUGCAUAUUUGGGGGUGGCACGAGGUACUGGUAUGGAAACACUAUCACUGUCUUCACUGUCAGACUGCCAAAACACUUUACCCUUCCGUUUAUGAUCGCAAUGAGGGCACAUGGUAGGCUUUCAAGUCCCAGUUUUAUAGACUUGAUCAAACAUAUAAAGUAAUGCAGAGACAGGAUACUGCUCAGGGCCCUCCACUGUUGUAUCAAUUUUUCCAUUGAAUAAUCUACACUUUGCCACCAGAGAAAGCCCAAUAUCUGUUCCAGUUGAUCUGUCAAAACUUGUUCCGCUGCUCUUGACAAAGUAGUGCGCCACAGUCACCACCGAGGACCCCACCUCCCUCUCUUUUUCUUUGACUCCUUAACAAGAAGACCGCUUCUGCCUCCACUCCCAUACAACUGAACUUCUGUAUCCACAACACCACCCCAUGCAUCAAAACUCUCGUUAUUCUUUGCCCAUGUUUUGAAAUCAGGUAUCAACAACCUGAAACUCUUCAUCCAAAUAUAAUUGGUCUCAUCGAACCCAAUAGAAUACCACGAAUAGAAAUCAAAAGAUAUACGGUCUUGGACGAAAAAUCGUAUUUCUUUGGCCUUGCUAUGUUGAUCAACACCAUAUCUUGUGAAGGAUACCUCACAAGUUUCCUUAUCUACUGUGUAUACCACCUUAAAGGUCUCCUUCACCGCAUCGUCUUUCUCAAAAUCUUUGGACAAGUCGAUGGAAGUGGAUGGUCCCAGCUGUAGAUGGCAGGGAAUUGGAGCAGAUCCAAUAUAAUUAUCGAGAACAACAUCAAGACUGCUUCCCAUCUUGUUAUUUUAUAGGAAAUAGAAUGGAAGGAAUGGAAUGGAUUAGUAGUUUAAGGGUUGAUACUUGAAUGGAAGGAUGUUCACAUGCCAAUGUUAUAUAUAGAGAUGCACACAUUACAUUACAGUAUAAUCUUUGCCCUAGUAAGCGUUAUUCUUACGCACAUUCAUUCUUUCAAUCACAGUCACUGUGGCAUCUAAUUCUCCAUCAUGCAUUACCUUUUACUGUUAAAUAUUCUCCAAUCUUCAACCUCUUUGAUUCUUCAUUCUUCCACUAAUUCAAUUCUUUUCUCAGUGCGGCUCACAACGGGUGUUUGUUUUUUAUGAACCUGUUACAGUUUCAAAACCAUUUUGUAGAUCACUUCAAUAUUUCUGCACAAAACAAUAACUAUGUAAAUGCUACAGCUAAUAGAUAAACAUGCCUCAUAAUUACAGUAAGGGAUGAACUUUUUUAAUAACCAUGAUUAUAUAUUUUAUUACUAGACUAUUAUUUAUGAACUUUAUUGUCUUUUUUUGUGGCUUGUGGCGUGCAGGUGGAGCUUGAACAGUACCCAACGGCACCCCGUAUUGCUUCUCGAAUGCUUUUCACCGUGUUCCCUCAUUCCCUAUAUUCACCAUCUUUUUUUAUUUCACUCUUACUCCUCAAAUGUGCUAAAGUUGGAUUCUUUUGACUUAUACCACGUUCAUAUUGCUGUGGUUGUUAAUGGGUAUUUUUUAUCGUGUGCUUGUCUGGGGAAUUUGGCCACUUUAGUAUAUGCAAUGCAAUGCAACCUGUGUUGGUCAUACUUGCUUCUAUGAUGAUGUGAUUGGGAACAUCUAGUUAUGAUUAUUUUUGGUCAUGACAAUUCUGAUUGGCUUUUGGGUUUUGAGACCAUCUUUGGAGCAUUUACUUGCUGUUCUGUGGCAUGGAUUAGGAAAAGAUGGGGAGGGUAUUUUAGGAAAUCAAUUCAAUUGUGUGCAAGUGUGUGUGGAUUUGCAAAUUAUUUAGGGAAUGUUUUUUUCCAUUUAAAAUAGCUAUAGUAAUUUCCACUUUGCUAAAGUUUAUUUUGUCUGUGUUCACUUCUACGUUGCUUUUCUUUUCUCUUACUUUAUUCUUCUAUAUUUUACUACCAAAUCAAUCUUUUAUUCUCACAUAUCAGUUAUAUAAUAUAAUUCUCUAUCAUAUGCCCAGUGUUAUUCUUGGUCAGAUUAUUUCAAUUACAUGGCACCUAAUUCUCUAUCAUAUUUUCUACUCCACUUUCAUAUUUCUCUUCUCCACUUGUUAAUUCCUUAUUUUUCCAUUGAUUCGUCUAAAUGCAUAUCCAACUUUUGCGAAGCAGACUAUGAAAAUCAUGAGAAACAAGCGUUGGUAUUCUCUACACUAAUUUCCAUUUAACUAUAAACUCAUAGAUAUGAGGUUCUAUGAACUUUUUUUUACCAGUAAGAACUAAAUUAAAGAAAACACUAAAAGGUGAUUCAUGAAAAAAAAAACAGACACUUACUCACACUUGAAUUUCUCUAAAAGAAACACUCUUCUUUGAAAUUCUUCUUUGUUGUAUUUCUUUUCUGUGGUGUAUCUUACAAUUGAGAGAGCAUCCUUUUUAUAGGCUUUAGGAAGCUCUUCUAGAAAAGUCUUCAUUAUGGCCUUAAAACCCCACUAACAACACAAUUAAAAUCCCACUCACAACUUUUGACCUUUUACAUAUCCAAACUCCCAUUCUACUCUUUUCUAGUAACUUCUAACUUUAAAACCCACAAAUUACAUUAAAGUUUAUUCAACAAAACUCCCCCAUAAACUUAAAUGUUUCUACCAUCCAUCAUGCCAAUCAUCUUUUUGAAUUUGUCGAAAAAGACUUUCGGUAGCGGUUUUGUGAAGAUAUCAGCAACUUGAUCUUGACUUGCCACAUGCACCAAUUCCACACUUCCUUUCUUCACAUGAUCACGAAUAAAGUGAAAACGAACGUCAAUAUGUUUGCUUCUUUCAUGGUUCAUUGGGUUCUUUGCCAACUCAAUUGCUGAUUUGUUGUCAACUUGAAUCACAGUUGCAUCUAGUUGCUUUAGCUCCAUCUUCCUAACAAGUUUCUUAGCCAUAUCGCAUGACAUACACACCAAGAUGCUGCCACAUAUUCAGCUUCACACGUCGAUAGCGUCACGAUCGGUUGCUUCUUUGAAAGCCAAGAAAAUGUUGUGUUGCCCAUAAAGAAUACAUAUCCCGAUGUACUUUUUCGAUCAUCUAUGUCUCCUCACCAAUCGCUGUCAGAGUAACCCACCAACUUGUAAUCUUCUGCUUUUGAGUAGAACAAUCCGAGUGAUACAGUACCUUGGAUGUACCGUAGGACUCGCUUUAACGCCUUCCAAUGUGAGUAAACCGGUUCCUCCAUGAAUCGACUUAUGAUGCCGACACUUAAUGAAAGAUCCGGCCUUGUGCAUGUGAGAUAACGAAGGCUUCCUACCAAACUCCGGUAUCUACUUGCAUCGACACGUUCUCCUCCAUCGAACUUUGAGAGUUUUGCACCUGGUUCUAUUGGUAUUGAUACUGGGUUGCAAUUUUCCAUCUUGUACUUCUUCAAAAUCUCCUUUGCAUAUUUCUCCUGUGAUACAAAAAUACCUGUCUCUUUUUGUCUAACUUCCAAGCCAAGGAAAAACUUCAUCAAUCCCAAAUCUGUCAUCUCGAAUUCUCGUCUCAUUGUGUCCUUAAACUCUUCUAUCAUCUCAUUAUUGUUACCCAUAAAAAUGAGAUCAUCAACAUAAAGAGCAACAAAUAUCAUGUUACCUCCACUGUUCUUUGCGUAAAGAGCAUGCUCGUAAGGACUUUGCUUGAACCCGUUCUCCUUGAAGUAUGUAUCGAUACGAGUAUUCCAUGCCCGCGGUGCUUGCUUCAACCCGUAAAGGGCCUUCUUCAAUUUUAGCACCUUCUUCUCCUCUCCGAUUUUCAUGUACCCAGGUGGUUGUUCGAUGUAGACUUCUUCUUCAAGCACACCAUUCAAGAAUGCCGACUUGACAUCCAUUUGAAAUAUCGGCCAUUUAAAUUGAGCCGUUUGGGAAAUGAGCAAUCGAAUUGUCUCCAUUCUUACAACGGGAGCAAACACCUCAUCGUAGNNNNNNNNNNNNNNNNNNNNNNNNNNNNNNNNNNNNNNNNNNNNNNNNNNNNNNNNNNNNNNNNNNNNNNNNNNNNNNNNNNNNNNNNNNNNNNNNNNNNNNNNNNNNNNNNNNNNNNNNNNNNNNNNNNNNNNNNNNNNNNNNNNNNNNNNNNNNNNNNNNNCUUUAAUCUCCUCAUCCAUGGCAGUUUGCCACUUCUUGUCUCGCACCGCCUCUUCAAAGCUGAUAUUUUCAGCAUCUGCCAAAAGACAUACUAGGUGUACCUCAUUUGUCGAAUCGUACAAAUCAUGCAAACUUCGAAUUUUAGGUUGUCGUGGUUCAUCUUCAUCAUCGGUUGUUUCGGAAUUUAUACUUGUCGGUGAUGAUUCUCCAACUUCAAUCAUAACCUCUGAAGAAUUGUUCCAAUCCCACUCGCUUGCUUCAUUUAUUUGCACAUCACGACUCACCAUCACCUUCUUGCUUAUCGGGUCAAGGAGCUUGUAUCCUUUUGUCUUCUCAUCAUACCCAAUAAAAACAUACCUUUUGCUUUUGUCUUCGAGCUUCGUUCUUCGUUGAUCUGGUACGUGUGCAUAAGCCACACUACCAAACACUUUGAGAUGAGAAACUGUUGGCUUUUGUCCGCUCCAUGCCUCUUGUGGUGUUUGAUCAUCUAACUUCACAUGUGGACAUCGAUUUUGCACAUAGAUGGCGCAUUGCACAGCUUCCGCCCAAAAUUCCUUUGGCAUCUUUUUGCUCUUAAGCAUUGAUCGAACCAUGUCGAGAAUGGUCUGAUUCUUCCUCUCGGCCACACCAUUUUGUUGAGGAGUGUAUGGUGCAGUUAGAAAUCACCUUAUGCCUUGCUCCUCGCAAUACUCCAUGAAAGUCGUUGAAGUAUACUCGCCACCUCUAUCAGAUCGUACAGCUUUGAUCUGUUUAUCAGUUGUCCUCUCCACCAUCACCUUGAACUUUUUGAACACCUCAAAUGCCUCGGAUUUUUCNNNNNNNNNNNNNNNNNNNNNNNNNNNNNNNNNNNNNNNNNNNNNNNNNNNNNNNNNNNNNNNNNNNNNNNNNNNNNNNNNNNNNNNNNNNNNNNNNNNNUUCAGAAAGUAAACCCAAGUUUUUCGUGAGAAAUCAUCAAUGAAGGUAAUGAAAUACCUUUUACCGCUGAAGGAAACUGGAGUAAUUGGUCCACAUAUGUCGGUAUGAAUCAAUUCGAGAGGUUGCUUAGCCCAAUAUUGAGCCUUCUUUGGAAACGAGGUUCUCACAUGCUUGCUGAGCACACAUUCUUCACAAAAUUUUCCCUCGUAGUCCAUGUUGGGUAGCCCGUGCACCAUAUUCUUCUUCUCUAACUCUUUUAGUCCACCAUGAUGUAGGUGACCAAAACGGAGAUGCCACAACGAUGCCUUAUCUUCUAUGUUGACUUGCAAACAUUUUUCUCGUAUGCUUCUCAAAUUUAGCUUGUACAUCCGAUUUCUUGCCAUCUCAAUUCGAGCAACCAAACGCCCUUGCUUGUUCUUCAAGUGUAGGAGUCGAUCUUUCAAAAAUAUCGAGUAACCUUUCUCCGUGAGUUGCCCCAUACUCAAAAUGUUGGUCUUGAGGUCUGGUACGUAAUAAACNNNNNNNNNNNNNNNNNNNNNNNNNNNNNNNNNNNNNNNNNNNNNNNNNNNNNNNNNNNNNNNNNNNNNNNNNNNNNNNNNNNNNNNNNNNNNNNNNNNNNNNNNNNNNNNNNNNNNNNNNNNNNNNNNNNNNNNNNNNNCGCACAUAUGGUUGCUUGCUCCAGAGUCGAGGUACCACAGAGUGUCAUUGUUAAUGUUGACUUCAUCUUGAGCCAUCAAGAGAACACCUUCAUUCGUUUCGACUUCCAAGGCUAGGUUGGUUGUUUCUUCUAUCUUUGUAUCAGCACGACAAUCUUUUGCAAAAUGCCCCACUUUACCACAAUUGUAACAUUUGUCAAAGUUACAAUCCUUCGCAUAGUGACCAUAUUUGUGACAUUUGUAGCACUCGAUGUUGGGAUAAUUCGAUCGGCCGCCUCUUCCUCUACCACGUCCUCUUCCACGCCAAUUUGGUUGGCUCGACUGUUCCUUCUCCUUAUAGUACCUUUUCCACCACGACCGUUUCCACGACUUCCACGACCACGCCCUCUAUAUUGAGAAUUUUGAUGAUAGAGUACCUUUUCGUCUUUGAUUAAUGCCUUGGUUUGAAGUGCUUGCUCGAGUGUUUCCUCCUUCUUCUUCUUCUUUUGAUGCUCGUGUGCCUCGAGAGAACCGGCGAGCUCGUCGACUGUGAGCGUCGCAAGGUCCUUUGACUCUUCUAUCGCGCACACAAUACUCUCAAAAUUGUCUGUUAAUGUUCUCAAAAUCUUCUCCACAACUCGUGCAUCGGUUAGAGUUUCACCGUUUCGGNNNNNNNNNNNNNNNNNNNNNNNNNNNNNNNNNNNNNNNNNNNNNNNNNNNNNNNNNNNNNNNNNNNNNNNNNNNNNNNNNNNNNNNNNNNNNNNNNNNNCCAUCAUCUUCAUGUUCUCCAACUCGCCACGCAGAGUUUGUAGACGCACUUGCUUAACUCGGUCAGCUCCUUUGAACACCUUCUCCAAUAUGUCCCAUGCUUCCUUUGAAGUGGAUGCACCAGCAAUCUUCUCAAAAAUUGCCUCAUCAACAGCUCUAUACAACAUGUACAAAGCUGCCUUAUCUUUCGAUCGCAUCUCUUUCAAUGCCUUGGUUUGAGCUGCCGUAUAACCCGUGGUAUUGGUAGGUUCUUCAAAACCUUCUUCGACCACCUCCCAUGAAUCCUGAGAACCGAGAAGAGCUUUCAUUUGAAUGCUUCAGUUGUCAUAUCUGGUCGCCUUCGUUAACCGUGGUAGCGGUAUUUGACCCGUCACAUUCGCCAUUGGCUCUUGAUACCAAAUUGAAAAAAAACAGACACUCACUCACACUUGAAUUUCUCUAAAAGAAACACUCUUCUUUGAAAUUCUUCUUUGUUGUAUUUCUUUUCUGUGGUGUUGUGAGAGCAUCCUUUUUAUAGGCUUUAGGAAGCUCUUCUAGAAAAGUCUUCAUUAUGGCCUUAAAACCCCACUAACAACACAAUUAAAAUCCCACUCACAACUUUUGACCUUUUACAUAUCCAAACUCUCAUUCUACUCUUUUCUAGUAACUUCUAACUUUAAAACCCACAAAUUACAUUAAAGUUUAUUCAACAAUUCAAACCUUAUAAAAAAAAAGUUUCUAGCAAAACCUACACAUCAAAACUGCAACCAAAAAGGAGUAAAACAGAAUGGUACAUCUGUUAUUGAGAAAGAGAACAUAAAAGCAUAAGCACUGUAGUAGGAUAUAAAGCCACAUUACAUCUUUGGUUCUUCAUUACACAAACAGCUAUAAAUUACUGUGAAGUAAAUAAAAUUAAAACGAAAAACAAAAACAAGAACAACUCUAGGAAUUAAGCUGGGAAGAAAAGUUUCCAUUGACUUGUCAAAAAGAAGAUUUAGGGAAUUCCUCAAUGGAUUGCGGAGUGAGGAGUGGACCAUGUGGUACGCUGUAGAUGUUUGAAGUUGUAAACUCACUUUAAGGAAAGAUGAAGGUGGCAACGGUUUACUCAUAAAAAUCCACAGCAUAAUCCCAGGCAUAACUGGAGAUUUUUCAGUAUACCGUUUUGAUAUGGAUCUAACUGAAUCAGAUUCUCGGGUACAAUCCACCUGGUCGAUCGAUAUCAAUGGAGCCGAGGCAUCGUCAGCGUUUGAUUAUGGCAAGCAGAUUCAUGCAGGAGGCAGCGUUACGAACACACAGUUUAUUUUGUGCGGGACUGGAGACAUAGGAAGUUUUAUUGUUCUGGAACAGAAGAAGAAGAAGGAGGAAGAAGAACGACCUUAUGCAGUGACUCUGGCACACUAUUUUGCUUCCAGUGGCCGUAUUAAUGAUUAUUCUAGAAAGAAAAUAGAUGUUGGUCUUUCUGUAGUGGUAAAGAUUCGAGCAAUCAAUGGCAGUUUGGAUGUAACGGUGGAAGGCACUGACAAACACCCUGCUUUUGGAUUACGUUACUUGUUUGAGGAAGCCAUGAGAAGCAAGAUUUGGAAGCCUACUUUAUGCCCACACUGUGCCAAUAUCCAGAAGCAAAGCAGCAUGAUGACUUCGCAGUCUGACAGUGAUGACAGGGAGAGUGUUCCUGUGGCACGCCGUCAUGGUGAAAACCAGCUUAAUUUAAAAGCUGUUGCCAAUAGUAAUUACACUGAAAAUAAAAAUAAAUAUAUGUUCUUUUGAAAGUGAUGGUGGUAACUGAUGUACCAAAUUUGCUUAGUUUUAGUAUGAAGUAACGUAAUUGGCACUAUGGCAUGAAUAAGCCACCAUCAUGUGAAGAAAAUAAGCCUAGAGGUGUUCUUGUAAAAAAGAAGAUUUAGGGAAGAAAAGAUUCCCUGUUAAUUCAAUUAAUUCUUUGCUGAUAAAAAAGAAAUAUCUAAUCAUGAGCAAACCUGUUAUUCCCUAAUUUCCCUCAUUUCUUUUGAACUCACCCAAAAGUUUUUACCCUUGCACCUUUAACUACUUUUGUUUUUAAUAGAUCUCAUACACACCAUUGGUUCCAUGCACCAAUCAGAGUAAGAAAAACAUGCUAUGCGUAUCUUUGAUGUGACCCAUGACCAAAUUUUCAACUACGCCAUCGUGAAGAUUUCUAUGUGGUUUAUGCAUCCGUUUUUAAACAUCUUCUUGUUUCUUUGUUUUCACACUUCGCCUAUUACUUCUAUACACACACAUUCAAAUUUGAUUGACAGUUUCGCUUUCCUUAAACAACUUGAACAGAAGUGCAUUUUUGGAUCUUGGUGAACCGUCAACGCCAUACCCACCCACUCGUAGCACUUAGACCAGACAAGUCAAGUUAUCUGACAUGUGCAGAAUAGAUGUGACGUUGUUUCCGCCGCCCCCUCUCCACACAUAACACAACUGAUAUUUUCCACGUCUAUCUCCCUUUUCACCAAAUUGGCCUUAAACGACUAUGCCUUAAGUCUCCAAAAACCCCUCAUACAUUGUGGCGUCUUGAACCUGAUCUUCACCUUUUAAAACUCUGUAAGCGGUUUGUAGUGUAAACUUUGUAGUGUCGCAAUCUUUCCAAACCUACAUAUCUUCCUUUUCUUCGGUUAAACUCUUCCUAUCCAACAACGUUAUCAUUUGUUGCUCCUGCUGCUUUUAUGAUCUAUGCAUAACCGCACAUCAUAUAUCAUAUAUAAGAACCAAUUUGCUUUGCACCAAUCUAGUAAUUUUUAUUCGAGAUUAUUUUUUUUGGGUACAUACAAUAUAAUAAAUUUACACUAUGAGAAACAUUGACCAAGUGCUAGUAUAUACAAUGAGAAAAUGGUUUCUUUUAAUAGUUUAUGUGUUUUUUUCUGCAACUAAAUAUUUGAUAUUUUUAGAAAAAAAGUUAGAAUCGUUAGGAAAUUGGUCGUAAACCAACGUCUCAAUGUUUUAAACUGUUAAGAGAAACCAAACAAGAAUAUCAAAUAGAUAAAAAGAAACAAUAAAGUUAAAGAAUCGAAGAAAGUAAGAAUGAGCAACAUAAUGAGUGAAGAAGAUAAACAUGAAAGUGCGCAAUAGAAACACAUGAUAGGGAAUUAGAUGCUGUGAAAUUGAAUUAUUGUGCGGAAGAACAACGCUUGGUUUGCAUAUAAGGUGGAAAGAUUCUAUACUCUACACACUAAAGAGUUCAUAAAUAUCCCCAUUAACAUCCCAACCAAGCAUAUCAGAGAAAACCUACCUCAGUACCCACAUAGAUUAACUGGGAAGUGAGUUCUCCAUACUCUAUCCCAUGCACUAACCCUAAAUAUUUCUAUACCCUUAUCUCUCCAAACUCAUCAUCCCACAGAUACUCCAUUUCCGUUCUUAAUUUGUUGGCUUUAGAUGGGAAACAGUAUUCGCAGAGUUGGUCUUCUGAAUACUGUUGGGGUGGGGGAGGAUCAACCUUUUCACUAUCAGCUGGGAAGAAAAGUUUCCAUUGACUUGUAAAAAGAAGAAAUUAGGGAAUAGCAGGUUUGCUCAUGAUUAGAUAUUUCUUUUUUAUCAGCAAAGAAUUAAUUGAAUUAACAGGGGACCACUUUAGGGGUAUCCCAACCCGUAUACAAAAACCAAGAUCUUGAGCAUAUAAGUGCUUCCUGAUCAUUCCUACAUUCCUAGCAGAAAAGACCAGACUAGCCUAGCUCAAUGAUUAGAGAUUUGUUUUAGUAAGGUGUAUGUUCUCUUGUAUAAUAGUUGAUGUAUCACUGAAAUAUCUCCCAUUUGUAUAUUCUUUUCUUAUCGAUAAAAAAAAAUAGAUAAUAACCUAUCUUAUUUAAUACUAGAUUUAUAUGCUAAAAUAAAGAUCAAUUAUAUAUUUUUUCUUGGAAUAACAUUUAUUAUAAAGUUUUAGAAAAUAUAUGUCGGUCAAGUAGUACUGCUUCACAAAUGUUAAUAAUAUAUAGUUUAGAAAAACUUUACAAAUAACCAAUUCUUCUUCAACACAUUCAAAUAUUAUAAGGUACCCAAAAAAAAAUUAAAAUUGCCAAAUCCAAUUUUUAAUUAUCCAAAUCUAUAUUACUUUUAAUCCAUCUAAAUUCAUAUUUUUGGAUUUUAAGUCCAAUCCAUUUAAUUGGAUAUGAAUUAGAUAUAUAUUGGAUAUAUUUUUGGAUUAUUCAAAAUGGAUUUUAGGUUGGAUUUUGACUUAGACCGGACCUAGGAUGAGUCGAGUCAAUCCGAGCCUAGGACGAGCAAAGUCGGUCCGAGUUGAUCAGGGCCCAAGUCGAUCCCAAUCGAUCCGAGCCAAAGACGAGCCCAAUCGAUUUGUGCCCAAGUCAAGCCUAGUCGGCCAAGGCCGAAUUCGAGCCAACCAAAAGUUGAGUCGAAUCAACCCGGGCUAAAGUCAAGCUGAGUGGGUUAGAGCCUAAGUCGAUUUGGCACCAAGCCCAUGUCGAGCCAAGUUGACCCAAGCCCAUGUUGAGCCAAAUCGACCCAGGCCCAUGUCGAGUCAAGUUGACAUGGGCCCAUGUCAAUCUGAGUCGGCAUGGGCCCAUGUCAACCCGAGUCAACCAAGGCCCAUGUCAACCCGAGUCAACCUAGGCCCAUAACGAGCCUAGUCAACCCGGCCAUGGCGAGCCGAGUCGUCUCGGGCCCAUGGCGAGUCGAGUCGACCCUAGCCCAUGUCAAGCCGAGUCAGCUCAGACCUAUGUCGAGCUGAUUCGGCCCAGGCCCUUGUUGAUCUGAGUCGCCCACGUCCAUGUCCAGCCAACUCGACCAGAGCCCAUGCAAUCUGAGUCAACCCGGGCCAAUGUCGAGCAGAGUCGGCCUAGGCCCAUGUCUGUUCGAGUCGGCUCGAGACCAUGUCGAGCUGAAUGGACCUGGGCCGAUGUUGAGUCGAGUCGGUUUGGGCCCGUGUCGAGCCAAGUCGACCCGGACCCAUGUCGAGUCGAGUCGACCCGAACCCAUGUCGAGUCGAGUCGACCCGAACCCAUGUCGAGUUAAGUCAACCCAUAACCAUGUCAAGCCAAGUCGGUUCGGGUCGAUGUCGAGCUAAGUCGGCUUGGACCCAUAUCAAGCUGAGUACGCCCAAGCCCACGUCCAUCCGAGUUUACCCGCCAUGUCAAGGCGAGUCAGCCCAGGUCCAUAUCCAUCCGAGUCGACCCAGACUCAUGUCAAAUCGACCAAUAUACUUUGACCUUCACCUAAAGCCCAUUCAAAUUUGUCUUCAAAGAUAUUCCCUCGGUCCUCCACACCCCAUAUAUUCUUCAUGUUCCUCUACCAUUGGGAUUCCUUGUGAUUCCUAAUAUUAUUUUUUAAUCUCUCCAUUCGUCGUAUUUUGAAUCUAAAACUUCCUUCUACAGACGUUCCAACUUUUCGUGACAUUGACAAAUCUAUUUUCUUAAUAAGACAUUAUUGAAAAUCCUAAUAUCUUUAACACAUUCCUCUUCUUUCUUCGAAUCACAUACCUCCUCCCAACCAACCCAUGUUUUUCCUUCCAUCCUUUCCAUACCCAAAGAAACUUCUUUUGGACUCUCUUAAUGGUGACAUUUUGAAGAAAGACAUAUUACAAAGGAGCAAAGAGAGUUAAGCAAGUACGUAGUAAGGGAUUAAUUUUUUUAAUAAGUAUAAUUAUAUAUUUUAUUACUCGACUAUUAUUAUAAACUUUAUUGUAUAAUUUUUAACACAUUUAAUAUCACGUUUUUCAAUUUUAUUGAUUAUUUAAAUAACUAAGUGUGUUGUAUGAUAAAAAAAAGACGUAAAAAUGGUUUGUUUUUUAAAAAAAAAUUAUAUAAAAUUAUGUUAUCUUAAAUAUAUGUAUAUAAUAUUUUUUUAUCAACAAAUAAUUAAUUAAUUAAAUAAAGCUUCAUUCAUUAUCAUUCUCCCCAGCCCCAACAGCAGCGAGAAGACCAACUCUGCGAAUACUGUUUCUCAUCUAAAAGGCAACAAAUUAAGAACACAAGAGAGUGUCUGGGAUGAUAAGUUUGGAAAGAUGAUGGUAUAGAAAUAUAUAUAGGAUUAGGUAGGUUUUCUCUGCUAUGCACUUGCUUCGGGUGUUAAUGGGGAAUCAAUGAACUUUUUGCUAGACAAAGUCAUUUUGUCAUGCUCAUGGUAACAAAAAUUCAAAAUCAAUAAUUAAGUGCAAGUUAAAAAAAAAAUAUUUUUUUUAAAAAUGAUACAGAUAAUCACAUAAGUAAACAAGAUACAGACAGAACAACAAAAUUUAUUAUUGCUAAAGAAAACAUAAAGUGCAAGCAACAAGGUUACAAUUGGGUUCUGCAUAAUAUACACAACCACUGGCUAAACAAAAAGCUUAUUUUCUUCUUCCAAGAUUGUCUUGUCACCGUCUUUUUGGGAAAAUCAUAACAUUUUCAAAAAAAUUACCAUUACCGUUUCCCUUGAACCUUCCACCAUUGGAGACCCCUCUUGCACUUUUGGGGGUGGCAACAGGUACUGGUAUGGAAACACUGUCACUGUCUUCACUGUCAGACUGCCAAAACAUUUUACCCCUCCCUUUAUGAUGACAAUGAGGGCACAUGGUAGGCUUCCAAAUCCCAGUUCUACUGACUUCAGCAAACAUGUAAAGUAAUGCAGAAACAGGAUGCUGCUCAGGGCCCUCCACUCUUAUGUCAAAUUUUCCAUUGGAUACUCCAAUCUUUGCCACCACAGAAAAGCCAAUAUCUGUUCCACUUGACAUGUGUAAACUUGUUCCGCUUCUCUUAACAAAGUAGUGAGCCACAGUGGCCACCUCGACCUCUUCCUCCCCUCUCUUUUUCUUUGACUCCUUAACAACAAGACCCCAAUUUCUUCCAUUCUCAUACAACUGAACUUCUGUAUCCACAACACCACCCCAUACAUCUAAACUCUUGUUUGUAUUUGUCGAUACAGUGGCGUAUUCUUUUGUUCUAAAUUUCGAUAACAUCCACCAAAAGAUACUCACUAUCCUAAUAUAUUUGGUCCCAGUGAUUUCCAUAGUAAACUGCGUUUUGAAGUCAGAAGAUGAAAGGUCAUAGACGACAAAGUGUACCUUUUGGGCAUUGCAAUGUUGAUCACCAUAUCUUGUGAAGGAUACCUGACAAGUUUCCUUAUCUACUGUGUAUACCACCUUAAAUGUCUCAUUGACCACUCCCGCAUCGUCUUUCUCACUCAAAUCUCUUGACAAGUCGAUGGAAGUGGAUGCUCCGAGCUGUAGAUGGCAAGGAAUUGGAGCAGUUCCAAUAUAAUUAUCGAGAACAACACGAAGACUGUUUCCCAUCUUGUUAUUUUAUAGGAAAUAGAAUGGAAGGAAUAGAAUGGAUUAGUAGUUUAAGGGUUCAGACUUCAAUGGAAGGAUGUUCACAUGCCAAUGUUAUAUAUAGAGAUGCACACAUUACAUUACAGUAUAAUCUUUGCCCUAGUAAGCGUUAUUCUUACGCACAUUCAUUCUUUCAAUCACAGUCACUGUGGCAUCUAAUUCUCCAUCAUGCAUUACCUUUUACUGUUAAAUAUUCUCCAAUCUUCAACCUCUUUGAUUCUUCAUUCUUCCACUAAUUCAAUUCUUUUCUCAGUGCGGCUCACAACGGGUGUUUGUUUUUUAUGAAUCUGUCACAGUUCCAAAACCAUUUUCUAGAUGACUUCAAUAUUUCUGCACAAAACAAUAACUAUAUAAUUGCUACAGCUAAUAGAUAAACAUGCCUCAUAAUUACAGUAAGGGAUGAACUUUUUUUAAUAACCAUGAUUAUAUAUUUUAUUACUAGACUAUUAUUUUUGUAUGAACUUUAUUGUCUAUUUUUUUAACGUAUUUUAAUAUCAUGUUUUUCAAUUUUUCAAUCUAUUGAUUAUUUAAAUAAGUGCGUUGUGCGAUAAAAAAACACUUCAAAAUGGUUUGAAUAGAAGAAAGAGAAUAAGCCCAAUUGAUUUUUGGCAGCAUGAUUGGGCUGGGCCUUGGAACAGAGAUUGUGGAUCCGUGGAGCAGAGGAUGAUACAAAAUUUAGGCAGAAAAAAUGAAAGCGAAAGUUUGAAUCAAUCGCCGGAGAAGAUGAAGCUGAAGCAGUUGGAAGGCCUUCUUGGUGGUCUCCAGCAGUUCCCUCAACCCAAGGUAAAGCUUUCUCCUUUCUCUCAAACUUUCCCUUAUCUCACUUUCUUCUGUGAAUUGUGAUUAUAACAUUAACAUUGGACACUCACUUCUUCCUUGUUUGUGGUUGUGGCUUGUGGCGUGCAGGUGGAGCUUGAACAGUACCCAACGGGACCCCAUAUUGCUUCUCGAAUGCUUUUCACUGUGUUCCCUCAUUCCCUAUAUUCACCAUCUUUUUUUAUUUCACUCUUACUCUUCAAAUGUGCUAAAGUUGGAUUCUUUUGCUUUAUACCACGUUCAUCUUGCUGUGGUUGUUAAUGGGUACUUCUUUUUUUGUCGUUUGCUUGUUUGGGGAAUUUGGCCACUUUAGUAUAUGCAAUGCAAUGCAACCUGUGUUGGUCAUACUUGCUUCUAUGAUGAUGUGAUUGGGAACAUUUAGUUAUGAUUCUUCUUGGUGACAAUUCUGAUUGGCUUUUGGGUUUUAAGACCAUCUAUGGAGCAUUUAGUUGAUGUUCUGUGGCAUGGAUUAGGGAAAGAUGGGGAGGGUAUUUUAGGAAAUCAAUUCAAUUGUGUGCAAGUGUGUGUGGAUUUGCAAAAUAUUUAGGGAAUGGUUUUUGCCUUGUAAAAUAGUUAUAGUAAUUUCCACUUUGUUAAAGUUUUGUUCCUUUUCUAUUAAUGAGAAUCAGGCAG